This is a long non-coding RNA of Chinchilla lanigera (long-tailed chinchilla), 1563 nucleotides long. The record is from Ensembl. Lineage: Eukaryota; Metazoa; Chordata; Mammalia; Rodentia; Chinchillidae.
AUGAAGCAUGAAUGUUUAUUUCCCAUUACAGAAAGGAAGACGUAAGGCACAAAGUAACUUGCCUAUGAUCAAACAGAGAGGGCAGGGUACAGUCCACAUUUAAACCUAUCUGUCCUUUAUACAUAUUAAUAUUUUCACAGAAAUAAUUUCUCAGUGUCGUUGCUAGUAUGAGCACAAGAAGAGUGAAUGGAUAAAACACAAAAGCCAAGGAAACUAAGCGGGAGUCUGGAAGGCUGACUUCUAGUUUUUGCUCUGCUGUGUCACGGCCCAGUCCGUCUCACUGGCUCUGUUUCCCCUCCUGUCAGUAAGCAUGCUAGACUGAUGCAACCGGCGAGUCUUAUGUGGCCGCUCUGCAUCCUUCUCUCUCAUUUGGUACCAGCACCUUGACUUUUCUGGGGGAAUCUCCUACCCCUUCGCUGUACAGGGUUAGCGGGGAGCAGGCUUCUUCCUUGCCCCAGGGCAGGCAAGGGAGCCUGGCUCAGCCAAUUACAGGAUCAUGGCUCUUCAGCCAUCUAGAUGAGUUCAGGAACAGGCAUCUGUAAAUCCGAGUGCAUCUUUGCUGAGACAACCAGGAGAGGGGUAAGCAAUUUUCUGUGAAAGUGACCAUGGGAGGAGAUAAAUCUGGCCUGCUACCAUGUAGAAUGCUCCCUCACUCAGAAUCGAGUUAACAGAGUAAAAAACAGAUCCAGGGGUUGCAGAGAGAGAUUCUUGCUGGCAUUGUUAGCGACUUGGAUCUGGCUAUGCCUGAAGCUUGGCAAGGUCUGCUCCUGGCUUGCUCAGUUAUAUGAACCAAUAUGUUUCCUUCGUUAAAUCAGUUUCAGUUGCGGCUAAAACAAUUAUCGCUGGUAGAACUGGAUAGCCCCUAAACUCUGUCAGUCAAAUCAAUUUGCAUUUGGAACUAUGACGGCUUCUGGAGGACAAAGAGACAGACACCGUUUCCCAGGAGACACCUCUGACCUGAAGGGGGAGCCUAUCUCCUCUGCUGCACAACUUUGUCCAUUCGCUGAUGAGGAGGAAAUGACAUGGGUAAAACAUACAAUGUAUUCUGUAUACUCAAACUUUAAGGCGGCGGACGACAGGAAGGAGGAGCUCUGGUUAAUGAACGCGGUAGGUAAGGUAUGAAACAACCACUGUGUCGAUGGAACACACCUAAGAUUCCACGUAGGCACCAGCUGUGAGGCAACACAGCCAUGAGGCAGAAAUGGACUUUAGGAUCAACAUCCUUGAUCCGUGAAAGUGGGAAAAUGAAAUAAACUACACACAAACGUUCCAGGAGGUUUUGCCAUGUUGUUUCUGGAAGCAAAGAGCUAAAAACAACCUUUUUGCCCAUCUACAAAGGAGAAGCUGCACAGACGAUAUUCCUGUGGGAUAUUACACAGCUAUGAGAAAUGUGUUAGACAUACAACCAUAACAUACUGAGUGAGAAAAGGUACUUGUGGAAUAAAAUGUACACUGUCCAGCCAUAAUUUUUUGCAAAACAAAAGAAAUCCUUAUGCUCCACUUAUAUGUCUAUAUAUGUUGCAUAAGCAGAGAAAAAACUACACUAAGUGGUAACCAUUCACU